Long non-coding RNA from Sinocyclocheilus rhinocerous, 390 nucleotides. RefSeq lists it as uncharacterized. Lineage: Eukaryota; Metazoa; Chordata; Actinopteri; Cypriniformes; Cyprinidae. The record is from RefSeq and is a predicted model, not a curated record. The transcript has 3 exons.
UUUUUGUUACAGCAGCUAUCACUGUGUUGUUAUGAAGUCAGUUUGUGGGGGGCACUAAUAGGGAAAAACUUAAACUGCUGGAAUAAAGAGUUUUAAAGGGUUAGUGAUGGAAAACUUGCAGGUCAAUGGGCAUCAGUGUUUAAGGUUGGUAAACACUUGUACACAGACGCAUAUAAUACUACCCGCCUGACAUUGGCAUGUGUUAUUCAGGUGUCAAAGUUGUGCAGAAUUGAAGGAAGAAACCUCAAAGACAGUGCCAGAAGGAUGCUGGGCAGGGUUUUAAAAAAAUUCCCUCAUGUCCAAAUUCUACAUGAAGGGGGGUGGUCCGCUGCAGAAAGAGGCAUCUGAAAAGACUGCAAAGAAAAGACAGUGUUGUAAAUACAACUUAAC